This is a ribosomal RNA of 435 nucleotides. It matches the Rfam family "Bacterial small subunit ribosomal RNA", at positions 341 to 792 of the family's 1533-position model.
ACGGGAGGCAGCAGUCGGGAAUAUUGCGCAAUGGAGGAAACUCUGACGCAGUGACGCCGCGUAUAGGACGAAGGUCUUCGGAUUGUAAACUAUUGUCGUUAGGGAGGAAAAAGGACAGUACCUAAGGAGGAAGCUCCGGCUAACUACGUGCCAGCAGCCGCGGUAAUACGUAGGGAGCAAGCGUUAUCCGGAUUUAUUGGGUGUAAAGGGUGCGUAGACGGGAAUUUAAGUUAGUUGUGAAAUCCCUCGGCUCAACUGAGGAACUGCAACUAAAACUGGAUUUCUUGAGUACUGGAGAGGAAAGCGGAAUUCCUAGUGUAGCGGUGAAAUGCGUAGAUAUUAGGAGGAACACCAGUGGCGAAGGCGGCUUUCUGGACAGCAACUGACGUUGAGGCACGAAAGUGUGGGGAGCAAACAGGAUUAGAUACCCUGGUA